Molecule: ribosomal RNA, 492 nt
Filed under: uncultured bacterium
Lineage: Bacteria
Description: partial 16S ribosomal RNA
Rfam family: Bacterial small subunit ribosomal RNA
Source: RNAcentral
AGUGAACGCUGGCGGUAGGCCUAACACAUGCAAGUCGAACGGCAGCACAGUAAGAGCUUGCUCUUACGGGUGGCGAGUGGCGGACGGGUGAGGAAUACAUCGGAAUCUACUUUUUCGUGGGGGAUAAGGUAGGGAAACUUACGCUAAUACCGAAUACGACCUACGGGUGAAAGCAGGGGAUCUUCGGACCUUGCGCGAUUGAAUGAGCCGAUGUCGGAUUAGCUAGUUGGCGGGGUAAAGGCCCACCAAGGCGACGAUCCGUAGCUGGUCUGAGAGGAUGAUCAGCCACACUGGAACUGAGACACGGUCCAGACUCCUACGGGAGGCAGCAGUGGGGAAUAUUGGACAAUGGGCGCAAGCCUGAUCCAGCCAUACCGCGUGGGUGAAGAAGGCCUUCGGGUUGUAUAGCCCUUUUGUUGGGAAAGAAAAGCAGCAGGUUAAUACCCCGCUGUUCUGACGGUACCCAAAGAAUAAGCACCGGCUAACUUCGUG